UCUCACUGGAAGGUGUUGGAUGAU
Molecule: non-coding RNA, 24 nt
Filed under: Arabidopsis thaliana (thale cress)
Lineage: Eukaryota; Viridiplantae; Streptophyta; Magnoliopsida; Brassicales; Brassicaceae
Source: RNAcentral